This 88-nucleotide small RNA is filed under the name Arabidopsis thaliana (thale cress). RNAcentral describes it as "ATSL032250". Lineage: Eukaryota; Viridiplantae; Streptophyta; Magnoliopsida; Brassicales; Brassicaceae. The record is from RNAcentral.
UCCCCUUUUUGUUUCAUAACUAUUCCUUCACCGUGUUCUUGUUUCAUCAUCGCUGCUCUCGAAACUAGUCGGCAUACUUAGAGGUAAA